This 253-nucleotide ribosomal RNA is filed under the name uncultured bacterium. Its description in RNAcentral is "partial 16S ribosomal RNA". It matches the Rfam family "Bacterial small subunit ribosomal RNA", at positions 524 to 776 of the family's 1533-position model. The record is from RNAcentral.
UACAGAGGGUGCAAGCGUUGUUCGGAAUUACUGGGCGUAAAGCGCGUGUAGGUGGCGACGUAAGUCGGGUGUGAAAUCCCUUGGCUCAACCAAGGAAGUGCAUUCGAUACUGUGUCGCUUGAGUACUGGAGGGGAUGGCGGAAUUCCCGGUGUAGAGGUGAAAUUCGUAGAUAUUCGGAAGAACACCAGUGGCGAAGGCGGCUCACUGGCCCGUUACCGACGCUCAGGCGCGACAGCGUGGGGAGCAAACAGG